Molecule: ribosomal RNA, 506 nt
Filed under: uncultured Alphaproteobacteria bacterium
Lineage: Bacteria; Pseudomonadati; Pseudomonadota; Alphaproteobacteria
Description: bacterial SSU rRNA
Rfam family: Bacterial small subunit ribosomal RNA
Source: RNAcentral
CCUACGGGAGGCAGCAGUGGGGAAUCUUGGACAAUGGGCGCAAGCCUGAUCCAGCCAUGCCGCGUGAGUGAUGAAGGCCUUAGGGUCGUAAAGCUCUUUCAACGGUGAAGAUAAUGACGGUAGCCGUAGAAGAAACCCCGGCUAACUCCGUGCCAGCAGCCGCGGUAAUACGGAGGGGGUUAGCGUUGUUCGGAAUUACUGGGCGUAAAGCGCGCGUAGGCGGAUUGGAAAGUUGGGGGUGAAAUCCCAGGGCUCAACCCUGGAACUGCCUCCAAAACUAUCAGUCUAGAGUUCGAGAGAGGUGAGUGGAACUCCGAGUGUAGAGGUGAAAUUCGUAGAUAUUCGGAAGAACACCAGUGGCGAAGGCGGCUCACUGGCUCGAUACUGACGCUGAGGUGCGAAAGUGUGGGGAGCAAACAGGAUUAGAUACCCCUGGUAGUCCACACCGUAAACGAUGAAUGCCAGUCGUCGGGUAGCAUGCUAUUCGGUGACACACCUAACGGAUU